AUUGAACGCUGGCGGCAGGCCUAACACAUGCAAGUCGAGCGGUUGAGGUAGCUUGCUACCGAUGCAGCGGCGAACGGGUGAGUAAUACAUGGGAAUCUGCCUGGUAGUGGGGGACAACGUCUCGAAAGGGACGCUAAUACCGCAUACGCCCUACGGGGAAAGGGGGGGAUCUUCGGACCUCUCGCUAUCAGAUGAGCCCAUGUCAGAUUAGCUAGUUGGUGGGGUAAAGGCUCACCAAGGCGACGAUCUGUAACUGGUCUGAGAGGAUGAUCAGUCACACUGGAACUGAGACACGGUCCAGACUCUACGGGAGCAGCAGUGGGGAAUAUUGGACAAUGGGCGCAAGCCUGAUCCAGCCAUGCCGCGUGUGUGAGAAGGCCUUAGGGUUGUAAAGG
Molecule: ribosomal RNA, 395 nt
Filed under: uncultured bacterium
Lineage: Bacteria
Description: bacterial SSU rRNA
Rfam family: Bacterial small subunit ribosomal RNA
Source: RNAcentral